GAGGGAAAGGUGAAAAGAACCCCGGUGAGGGGAGUGAAAUAGAACCUGAAACCGUGCGUCUACAACCAGUCGAAGGGCUAUGCCAGGUCCGUGCCCGCCCCUGUGGGGGAAAGGGCCGCUGGAAGGCCCGACGGCGUGCCUUUUGGAGAAUGAGCCGGCGAGUUACUCUCUGUGGCGAGGUUAAGCCAGUGACAGGCGGAGCCGUAGCGAAAGCGAGUCUGAAUAGGGCGAAUUGGUCGCAGGGAGUAGACACGAAACCGAGUGAUCUACCCAUGGCCAGGGUGAAGCGAAGGUAAUGCUUCGUGGAGGCCCGAACCCGUCACAGUUGCAAAUGUGUGGGAUGAGCUGUGGGUAGCGGUGAAAUGCCAAACGAACUCGGAGAUAGCUUGUUCUCCCCGAAAUAGCUUUAGGGCUAGCGUCACGCGUUUAGUGUCGGAGGUAGAGCACUGGAUCGGCUAGGGGGCUUACCGCUUACCAAACCGAACCAAACUCCGAAUGCCGAUACUCCAGAGCGUGACAGUCGGACUGCGGAAGAUGAGUUUCGUAGUCGAGAGGGAAAGAGCCCAGACCGCCAGCUAAGGUCCCCAAGUCUAGGCUAAGUGGGAAAGGAAGUGGGAUUACUCAGACAUCCAGGAGGUUGGCUUAGAAGCAGCCAUCCUUUAAAGAGUGCGUAACAGCUCACUGGUCUAGUGAUCCUGCGCCGAAAAUGUAACGGGGCUAAAGCCUAGCACCGAAGCUGCGGGAGGUCGGGGAUUGGUAAACUGGGAAUUGGUAAACUGGUAAAGUGGGGAUUGGUGUCUUGGCAAUCAAUUCAUCAACUACCCACCUACCAACUUACCAAUCUACCAACUACCAAUCUACCAACCUCGGUAGGGGAGCGUUCUGUCCAGCUGAGAAGGUAGACCGCGAGGACUACUGGAGCGGGCAGAAGUGAGAAUGCCGGCAUGAGUAGCGUAAAACACGUGAGAACCGUGUUCCCCGUAAGUCUAAGGUUUCCGACGGAAGGUCAAUCCGCGUCGGGUUAGUCGGGCCUAAGCCGAGGCCGAAAGGCGUAGGCGAUGGACAACAGGUUAAUAUUCCUGUACCACCGGGCCAGAGCGAUGGGGGGACGCAGAAGGGUAGGCCAGCCUGUAAUUGGAUUCAGGUGCUAAGCCUGUAGGGAGAUGACGAGGGUAGGUAAAUCCGCCCUCCGAUCCCGAGGGGUGAUGGCGGAGCGCUACGGCGCCACAAGUGGCUGAGCCCAUACUGCCAAGAAAAGCCUCUAAGCGAUGAAGGUCAGGUGCCCGUACCGCAAACCGACACUGGUAGACGGGUAGAGUAUACCAAGGGGAUCGGGAGAACCCUCGUUAAGGAACUAGGCAAAAUGGCUCCGUAACUUCGGGAGAAGGAGCGCCACGGUAAGGUGAGGCACAUAACGUAGCCGAGCCCGAGGUGGUCACAGAGAAACGGCCCUGCCGACUGUUUAACAAAAUCACAGGUCUCUGCAAACUCGUAAGAGGAUGUAUAGGGGCUGACGCCUGCCCAGUGCCGGAAGGUUAAAGGGAGGGGUUAGCGUAAGCGAAGCUCUGAACUGAAGCCCCGGUGAACGGCGGCCGUAACUAUAACGGUCCUAAGGUAGCGAAAUUCCUUGUCGGGUAAGUUCCGACCCGCACGAAUGGCGUAACGAGUGGGGCACUGUCUCAACGAGGGACCCGGCGAAAUUGAAGUAGCGGUGAAGAUGCCGUUUACCCGCAGCAGGACAAAAAGACCCCGUGGAGCUUUACUGUAGCUUGGUAUUGAGUUAGGGCUUAGCUUGUGUAGGAUAGGUGGGAGACUGUGAAGCUAGGGUGCUAGCCUUGGUGGAGUCGUCCUUGAAAUACCACCCUGGUUAAGCUUUUGCCCUAACCCGCGACCGUUAUCCGGCGUGGGGACAGUGCCUGGUGGGCAGUUUGACUGGGGCGGUCGCCUCCGAAAAGGUAACGGAGGCGCGCAAAGGUCCCCUCAGGCUGAAUGGAAACCAGCCGAAGAGUGCAAAGGCAUAAGGGGGCUUGACUGCGAGACCAACAAGUCGAGCAGAGACGAAAGUCGGCCUUAGUGAUCCCACGGUUCCGAGUGGAAGGGCCGUGGCUUAACGGAUAAAAGCUACCCCGGGGAUAACAGGCUAGUGAGGCCCAAGAGUUCACAUCGACGGCCUCGCUCGGCACCUCGAUGUCGGCUCAUCGCAUCCUGGGGCUGGAUAAGGUCCCAAGGGUUGGGCUGUUCGCCCAUUAAAGCGGUACGUGAGCUGGGUUCAGACCGUCGUGAGACAGGUCGGUCUCUAUCCGCUGUGGGCGUAGGGGAUUUGAGAGGAGCUGCCCUUAGUACGAGAGGACCAGGGUGGACAGACCGCUGGUGUGCCAGUUGUCCCGCCAGGGGCAUCGCUGGGUAGCCAUGUCUGGCAAGGAUAACCGCUGAAAGCAUCUAAGUGGGAAGCCUACCUCAAGAUAAGAUCCCCCACCGAGUAAAUCGGGUAAGCGCACCGGGAGACUACCGGUUGGAUAGGCGGCAAGUGUACGCACAGUAAUGUGCUCAGCUAAGCCGUACUAAUCGCGCGAGGGCUUAAUUCG
This 2585-nucleotide ribosomal RNA is filed under the name Chloroflexota bacterium. Its description in RNAcentral is "Chloroflexi bacterium (marine metagenome) partial 23S ribosomal RNA". It matches the Rfam family "Bacterial large subunit ribosomal RNA", at positions 505 to 2925 of the family's 2925-position model. The record is from RNAcentral. Lineage: Bacteria; Bacillati; Chloroflexota.